This 451-nucleotide ribosomal RNA is filed under the name uncultured microorganism. Its description in RNAcentral is "bacterial SSU rRNA". It matches the Rfam family "Archaeal small subunit ribosomal RNA", at positions 330 to 745 of the family's 1478-position model. The record is from RNAcentral.
GUGCAGCAGUCGCGAAAACUCCGCAAUGCUCGAAAGAGUGACGGGGGAUUCCAAGUGCCUACGCUUAGCGUAGGCUGUUCAGAUGCCUAAAAAGCAUCUGGAGUAAGGGCUGGGUAAGACGGGUGCCAUCUGCAGUGGUAAUGAAAAACUUGCUACUGCAAGGCAUAAGCCGCCGCGGUAAUACCCGCAGCCCGAGUGGUAGUCGCUUUUAUUGGGCCUAAAGCGUCCGUAGCCGGUCUGGUAAAUGCCUGGGGUAAAUCGUGGGGCCUAACCUCACGAAUUCCGGGUAGACUGCCAGACUUGGGACCGGUUGAGGGAGAGGGUACUCCAGGGGUAGGGGUGAAAUCCUGUAAUCCUUGGAGGACCACCGGUGGCGAAAGCGCUCUCCUAGGACGGUCGACGGUGAGGGACGAAAGCCAGGGGAGCAAACCGGAUUAGAUACCCCGGUAGU